This 612-nucleotide long non-coding RNA is filed under the name Phasianus colchicus (ring-necked pheasant). RNAcentral describes it as "lncRNA (ENSPCLG00000003403.1)". The record is from RNAcentral. Lineage: Eukaryota; Metazoa; Chordata; Aves; Galliformes; Phasianidae.
AUUCAAGUGACUGAUAAAAAUUCCUUUGUUUUCAUGGCCAUAGUUUUACAUUUUCAAAACGUGUAUAAGAUUCUGCAGCUGCAGUUUCUCAAAUUUGCUUUCCUUGUGGAAAUGAAGCUUUACUAAGAGCCAAAUUGCUUGAUGCUAUGAUUUUGUUUACAUAUCUUUUGAAAGGAUACAAUUGGAAAUGAUGAUAUCACUGUCUUGCAGGUAGCCAAUACCCUUGGCUGUGUGAAUUUUGGCUGAGAUGGUGAGGAGUGCUGCCACCCAAGUAUGAUUCCACCGCCAACUCCAUCGAUGUUUCACGCUGAGAAUGGGAACAAGUUUACCGUAAGUGUACGCAUGUACGUUACUGAUGAUAUGCUGCAUGGGAACUGCUGAAUCACGGCCUGAACCUCUGAUUGACCACCUGAGGCGAGCAAAGAGUCAGCCCUGGGAGCACAAGUAGAGCCUGGCUCCACCUUUCCCAGACCCUAUUUAAGAGCUGAAGGCCACUGCAGAAGGAUCUCUUUUGGAAAUUGCUUCUCUUGGAGUCUUCUCAGUGAGCCCAGAAGAAAGGUAAGCUUUCCAUCCAUUCUUCUUUAGUGUGAUAAUCUGUUUAGCCUAACUUUC